RNAcentral lists this ribosomal RNA (118 nucleotides) under uncultured bacterium. RNAcentral's name for it is "partial 16S ribosomal RNA". It matches the Rfam family "Bacterial small subunit ribosomal RNA", at positions 1357 to 1482 of the family's 1533-position model. The record is from RNAcentral.
CUACGGUGAAUACGUUCCCGGACCUUGUACACACCGCCCGUCAAGCCAUGGAAGCUGGGUCGUACCUAAAGUCGAUAACCGUAAGGAGUCGCCUAGGGUAAAACUAGUAACUGGGGCU